ACCAGGUGUUGUAGUGCAUACCCGUAGCCCCAACUACUGAGGAGGCUGAGGUGGGAGGAUCGCUUGAACCUAGGAGUUCUGGGCUAUAGCUCUCUAUGCCAGUCAGGUGUUCACACUAAGUUCAGCAUCAAUGUGGUAACCUCCAGAAAGCAGGGAACAACCAGGUUGCCUAAGGAGGGAUGAGCUGGUCCAGGUCAGAAAUGGAGCAGGUCAAAACUCCUGAUCACACCUGUGAUUGCACCUGUGAAUAGCUGCUGCACUCUAGCCUGGACAACACAGCAAGACCCUGACUCU
Molecule: signal recognition particle RNA, 294 nt
Filed under: Carlito syrichta (Philippine tarsier)
Lineage: Eukaryota; Metazoa; Chordata; Mammalia; Primates; Tarsiidae
Description: Metazoan signal recognition particle RNA (ENSTSYG00000029717.1)
Rfam family: Metazoan signal recognition particle RNA
About the family: The signal recognition particle (SRP) is a universally conserved ribonucleoprotein.
Source: RNAcentral